AUAAGGUCGCCAGAAAUGCGAUUGCAUGCGAGGAAAAGCGUCGUCAGAUUUUUGCAGUCAUUCAGCGAAGCUGGAAGAGAACCAUUGAGCCGGUUGUUGGAGAGAUCCAGCAACAGCCGUUCUAGCUUUGGACAUGUCAAGAGCUUUGGUGGGAUUUCGCCUUGGAGAUUAUUGUCGUGCAAGUAUACUCUCUCCAGAAAGCCAUUGACGCACAGAUCCUCGGGAAUAGUCCCUGUGAACCGGUUGCUGGACAGGUAUAAAACUAGUUCUGGAGCCGGGGCAGCGUUGCCACGCUUGGAUGUACAUUGCCUGCUAAGUUGUUAAACGACAGCGCCAGUCGUCUAAGCUGUCCAAGCUCAACUGGCACAUUUCCUUCGAGGUAAUUUCCAGAAACAUCCAGCUCUUUCAACCUUCGACAGCUUCCCAAGCUACGAGGUUCUCGAGCAUUUCCAUGUGCCUGGGAAUUUCACCAGACAGCUGAUUGCUGGAAAGGCUUAGCAUCGUCAGCUCGGUGAGUUUCAAGAGCUCCACAGGUGGCCCAGCGAAGGAGAUAUCUGACCCGUCAAGAACUUGUUGUAUAGCAAGACCGCUGUCACUGUGACGCCAUCGUCGCGACACAACACGCCUUCCCAGGACGAGCAUGGCGAUUCUAACUUCCAGCUUGAUCUGGAGAUCGCUAGAGCGGACGCAACAUACCGAAGCAAUGGAUCCGAGAGCCAAGAACACCCGAAGAAAGAUCGUGGCGCUCAUCGCAUUCGUCUCACCCAAACUAAACUCCACUCCCCUUAGAGAUCUCUUUGCGAACCCCAUGCAAUCACUGGAUGGAUGGACACUGACGGGCAGCGUGGUUUUGAUAUCGUUUUCAAAGCUUUGUUUUAUACAUCGUGGAGAACAUGUGGUGAGAUUUUAGAAAAGAAUCUUGGGUGUUGGACUUUUGACUUUCAAAGAGUGAUCUUCCGUGAUACACCUUUGACUCUGCGCACAUUUUCCGAAAGAAAAAGAACCACAUACCAGGA
Long non-coding RNA from Selaginella moellendorffii, 1016 nucleotides. RefSeq lists it as uncharacterized. The record is from RefSeq and is a predicted model, not a curated record. The transcript has 8 exons. Lineage: Eukaryota; Viridiplantae; Streptophyta; Lycopodiopsida; Selaginellales; Selaginellaceae.